This 73-nucleotide non-coding RNA is filed under the name unclassified sequences. RNAcentral describes it as "RAGATH-18 RNA". It matches the Rfam family "RAGATH-18 RNA". From Rfam's summary of the family: Actinobacteria, Firmicutes, Fusobacteria, Thermotogae (1 example). Nearby to self-cleaving ribozyme genes The record is from Rfam by way of RNAcentral.
CCUUUGGAGUGUUACAGCAAACGAAAGUAGUAUAUCCUUUGGGAUUACAAAAUCGGACACAUUGAAAAAGGAA